This 324-nucleotide unclassified non-coding RNA is filed under the name rhizosphere metagenome. RNAcentral's name for it is "partial ribosomal RNA internal transcribed spacer region". The record is from RNAcentral.
GUAGGUGAACCUGCGGAAGGAUCAUUAACACGUAUUCAAACGUAUCAACCCCCAUUAUACGAAACAAAAUUUGCUUUGUGGAUGGUGUUGAGCGCAAGCUCGGCAGCUCGUAGUUGGAAACGAUUACUUGUCUGUGUCAGAUCUCGAGUGACUUGUCACUUGUUUUCUGCGCAUAUCCACUUAUGCCCCUUUUUCAAUCAACCUACUAUCUAGUUUGACGGAAAACAUAAUGUCAUGCAGUUCUGCCCAUUCAUUUGGACAAGCUCUGAUGUUAAAAAGAUAUAAAAAGCUGAACAACUUUUAGCAACGGAUAUCUUGGUUCUC